This 406-nucleotide ribosomal RNA is filed under the name uncultured bacterium. RNAcentral's name for it is "partial 16S ribosomal RNA". It matches the Rfam family "Bacterial small subunit ribosomal RNA", at positions 30 to 526 of the family's 1533-position model. The record is from RNAcentral.
AUUGAACGCUGGCGGCAUGCCUAACACAUGCAAGUCGAACGAGUGGCGGACGGGUGAGUAAUUUCUGGGAACCUGCCUGAUCGAGGGGGCUGACUGCUGUAAACGGUAGCUAAUACCGCUUACCGUCGGUUGUGCCCAGAUGGGAUUAGCGAGUGGGUGGGGUAAAGGCUCACCUAGGCGACGAUCCCUAGCUGGUCUGAGAGGAUGACCAGCCACACUGGAACUGAGACACGGUCCAGACUCCUACGGGAGGCAGCAGUGGGGGAUAUUGCACAAUGGGCGCAAGCCUGAUGCAGCCAUGCCGCGUGUAUGAAGAAGGCCUUCGGGUUGUAAAGUACUUUCAGCGGGGAGGCGUUACCCGCAGAAGAAGCACCGGCUAACUCCGUGCCAGCAGCCGCGGUAAUUC